Molecule: ribosomal RNA, 810 nt
Filed under: uncultured bacterium
Lineage: Bacteria
Description: bacterial SSU rRNA
Rfam family: Bacterial small subunit ribosomal RNA
Source: RNAcentral
CGGCAGCUAUACAUGCAGUCGUACGGGAUCCGAGGUAGCAAUACUUUGGUGAGAGUGGCGCACGGGUGCGUAACACGUAUGCAACCUACCUUUAACCGGGACACAACCCACCGAAAGGUGAGCUAAUAUCCCAUAACACUGCGAAGUGGCAUCACUUUGCAGUUAAAACUCCGGUGGUUAUUGAUGGGCAUGCGCGACAUUAGCUAGUUGGUGAGGUAACGGCCCACCAAGGCUACGAUGUCUAGGGGUUCUGAGAGGAUUAUCCCCCACACUGGUACUGAGACACGGACCAGACUCCUACGGGAGGCAGCAGUAAGGAAUAUUGGUCAAUGGGCGCAAGCCUGAGCCAGCCAUGCCGCGUGAAGGAUGACGGCCCUAUGGGUUGUAAACUUCUUUUGUACGGGAAAAAACCACCGGUCGUGUAUCGGUGCUGAUGGUACCGUAAGAAUAAGCAUCGGCUAACUCCGUGCCAGCAGCCGCGGUAAUACGGAGGAUGCAAGCGUUAUCCGGAUUCAUUGGGUUUAAAGGGUGCGCAGGCGGAAUAAUAAGUCAGCGGUGAAAGCCUACAGCUUAACUGUAGAACUGCCAUUGAUACUGUUAUUCUUGAGUGUUGUUGAGGUAGGCGGAAUGUGUCAUGUAGCGGUGAAAUGCUUAGAUAUGACACAGAACACCGAUCGCGAAGGCAGCUUACCAAGCAACAACUGACGCUCAUGCACGAAAGCGUGGGGAUCAAACGGGAUUAGAUACCCCGGUAGUCCUAGCCCUAAACGUUGGGUACUAGGUAGUGGACUAGACAUGAGUUCACUGCCG